This is an RNA transcript of Haemorhous mexicanus (house finch), 2210 nucleotides long. It is a transcript of the gene named threonyl-tRNA synthetase 2, mitochondrial, with no coding region annotated. The record is from RefSeq and is a predicted model, not a curated record. NCBI's taxonomy places the organism in Eukaryota, Metazoa, Chordata, Aves, Passeriformes, Fringillidae. The transcript has 18 exons.
GGGCGGAGCCUCGGCCAUGUCCGCACGCGCCGGUUCGCGGCUGCUGCUGGCGGGAGCCCCGCGGCGACACCGGGUGUCCGGGCCGGACCCUGAGCGCCUCCGGCUCUUCCAGCGGCUGCGGGCGGCGGCGGCGGAGCGCUGGGACGGGCGCGGGGAUGGGGUCGGCGGCGGGGCCGGGGGCGGCCGCCUCCCACCGGGGACCCCGAUCCGCAUCGCGCUGCCCGGCGGGCGCCGCCUGCCCGGCCGGGCCCUGCAAACCACCCCGUUCCAGGUGGCCACGGAGCUCGGGGCUGGCCUGGCCGAGGUGGCCUUGGUGGCCCGGGUGAACGGGACCCUCCAGGACCUGGACCGGCCGCUGGAAGGUGACACCGACUUGGAGCUGCUCGACUUCUCCACGCCUGAGGGGCGGGAGGCUUUCUGGCGCUCCAGUGCCUGUGUCCUGGGGGCGGUGGCAGAGCAGUUUUUCGGGGCGACGCUUUGCAGCACCCGGGCCACCGAGGAUGGCUUCUUCUGCGAUGUGCACAUGGGCAGCAGGACGGUGCAGAGCACGGAGCUGCCGGUGCUGGAGGAGGCCUGUGCCACGUUCGCCCGUGCCCGGCACCGCUUCGAGCGCCUCGAGGCCACCCGCCAGCAGCUGGCUGAGCUGCUCAAGCACAACUCCUUCCAGCUGCAGCAGCUCGAGGAGGUGACGUCCCCCACGGCCACGGUCUACAGGUGUGGCCCCCUGCUCCAGCUGUGCCACGGGCCCCUCCUGCGGCACACGGGGCUGAUCGGAGCCCUGCGGGUGCUCACGAGCUCGGCUGCGCUGUGGGGGGGAGCUGGGGGUCAGUCACUGCAGCGUGUGGCCGCCGUGGCCUUCCCCAGUGCCCAGGAGCUGGAGCAGUGGGAGCGGGCCCAGGAGGAGGCGGCUCAGCGGGAUCACCGCCGGAUCGGCAAGGAUCAGGAGCUCUUCUUCUUCCACAAGUUCAGCCCUGGCAGCUGCUUCUUCCUGCCCCGCGGUGCCCACGUCUACAACACCCUCGUGGAGUUCAUCCGGAGCGAGUACCGGGCCAGGGGCUUCAGCGAGGUGGUGACCCCCAACCUGUUCAGCCCCCGGCUCUGGGAGCUCUCGGGGCACUGGCAGCACUACAGCCCCCACAUCUUCUCUGUCCCUGCCACCCCUGAGACCCUCUCCCUCAAACCCAUGAACUGCCCGGCCCACUGCCUGAUGUUCGCCCACCGGCCGCGCUCCUGGCGGGAGCUGCCCCUACGCCUGGCGGAUUUCGGGGUCCUGCACCGCAACGAGCCCCCCGGGACCCUGACGGGGCUGACGCGGGUCCGGCGCUUCCAGCAGGAUGAUGCCCACAUUUUCUGCACCCUGGAGCAGCUGGAGAGCGAGAUCGAUUCCUCCCUGGAUUUCAUCCGCGCCGUUUACGCCGUCCUGGGCUUUUCCUUCCGCCUGGCCCUGGCCACGCGUCCCGAUGGAUUCCUGGGGGACCCUGAAACUUGGGAUCGUGCUGAGCAGCAGCUGGAGCGGAGCCUGAAGAAUUUCGGGCAGCCCUGGGAGCUGAGUCCGGGGGACGGAGCCUUUUAUGGGCCCAAGAUCGAUAUCCGGAUCAGGGAUGCUCUGGGGAGGCACCACCAGUGUGGCACCAUCCAGCUGGAUUUCCAGAUGCCCGAGAGAUUCGAGCUGGAAUAUGCCAGCCCCAGUGGGAGCCCGGCACGGCCGGUGCUGAUCCAUCGGGCCGUGCUGGGCUCCGUGGAGCGCAUGGUGGCCGUGCUGGCCGAGAGCUACGGCGGGAGAUGUGACCCCUGGUGCCCCCCAGGCCGCUCUGGCUGUCCCCUCUGCAGGCCAUGGUCAUCCCACAGAGCCCUGAGGUCGAGGACUAUGCCCGGGAGGUGCAGGCAGUGCUGAGGAGGGGGGGCCUCCUGGCUGACCUGGAUGGGGACCCCGGGACCACCCUGGCACGGAAGAUCCGUCGGGCCCAACUCGCCCACUACAACUUCCAGUUGGUGGUGGGGCGGCGGGAGCGGCAGCGCGGCACGGUCAGCGUCCGGAGCCGGGAGAACCGGCAGCUCGGCGAGCUGGAGCUGCCCCGGGUGCUGCAGCGGCUGCAGGAGCUGAGGGACGGCCGCGUCCCCGACGCCGAGCAGCGCUUCUGACCCCACCCCCCAACUCUUCUCGGGGGGCCCUGGGACCCCCCAACUCAAUAAACCGCUGGGAAAAGCGC